Non-coding RNA from Podarcis lilfordi (Lilford's wall lizard), 662 nucleotides. The record is from the annotation of a GenBank genome assembly. Lineage: Eukaryota; Metazoa; Chordata; Lepidosauria; Squamata; Lacertidae.
GUAUCCGUGCGCUGCUCUGGUUUGCCAGAAGCGGCUUAGUCAUGCUCGCCACAUGACCCAGAAGCUGUAUGCUGGCUCCCUCGGCCAAUAAAGCGAGAUGAGCGCCGCAACUCCAGAGUCGGCCAUGACUGGACCUAACGGUCAGGGGUCCCUUUACCUUUACCUUACAUAGUAUGUUAUUCACAUACUUUAAAAAACUGUGCAUAGACGAAACAUUUUUAUUUUGUAGACUAGAGCAGCCAUGGAGCGGUGAUUUUUCACCAGUCUGCGGAUAUAUUAGGGUUUAUGGAUGUUUAUUUUUCAAAACAAAAGUGGCCAGUUUAAGUGAGCUUCCCCUCCUCUUCUGAACUUCAGCCACUCUGGCUGGGACUGUUGGGCAACUGCCAACGGCCACUAUUUCCCCAUCCCAGUGUACAGCCACUAUUUCCCCAUCCCAGUGUCUUUUUGACCUGCAGCUCCCGAUAGACAUGUGUUUACUUAGCUGAGAUUUCAAAUUGUAACCGCAGAAUAAAUUCUUUAAUAGGCCAACAAAUGAAGACAUUGUGCACUGUAGCCUCUACUGCCUUUAUUAUGUUCCUUAUGCUCCCCGCCCCCUACUGUUACUGUCAGGCACCUUGAAGGUUUGUCAUCAGGCAGAAAGGUAAAAUGAAAAUAUUUCAGAU